Molecule: long non-coding RNA, 2412 nt
Filed under: Nicotiana tabacum (common tobacco)
Lineage: Eukaryota; Viridiplantae; Streptophyta; Magnoliopsida; Solanales; Solanaceae
Description: long non-coding RNA (NTAB_LNC006706)
Source: RNAcentral
CCACUUUUCCUCUUUAACAACUCUCACUCCAACUCAUCCUCCAUCACUAGCACAUACCUACUUUUGUCCAACUGAUUUCCUCUCCCUCAUCUCUCUCUUAUAUAAAAAACACACAUACUCACAAAUACAAAAACAUUCAGGGUGAGAUAGAUAGAGAGACAUUGAGAGGGGACGGAAAAGAAAAAAAAAACCAACGCCUCCUUCUUCUUCGCAAAAAGCAGCAUCCCCAAAAUUCAGUUGAAAAUAGCACCAAAAAUCACCUUUCUUCCUCAUCGAGACUUCACCCAAAAAUCAUGGUCGAACAAGGUCAGUCGAGGUCGCCGGAAAGUUUCCGCUCGUGGUCAAAUUUACUCUUAGAUCAAGUUCCAUCAUUCAGAAAUUUUUAUUUGUAUUUUCCUUGUCUCUAAGGUUCGUCCUUUUCACCUCCUGCUUCAAUAAAUUUCUGCCUUGUUUAGCAAAUGUCCUAUUGUUCUUGGUCUACUUGUUUCAGUUAAAUUUAGCAUGUUAAGAUAUGAGUUUGCAUUUAAUAGAUUUUGGGGUUGCAAUAAUUUGAGAAAUUUGGUAUUACGCUUUGCUCAAAUUCAUUGAUCUUGUAAUUUACGGCAAAAGUUUUAGUAUAGGAAUUUAAAAUUUGAAAAGCUCACUCAAGGCCCACUUUCUUGUUCAUUACUGCCUUUUUCAUAUUUAUAUUUGCCUUGUUAAGAGUUUUGAGUGCUUUAUGUGUUUAUUUCUUUAGCUUUGCAUAAAAAUUUGUUUCAUGUUGGCUAUUUUAUUUGGAUAAUUUUAGAAACUGCAGAGAACUUUGAAAGGCAUGACUAAGAAUUUUUGUCCGUGUGUUUUAAGAUUAAAGAAGGUAAAAUAUGAAUUGGGAAAUGGACUGCUAAGACAAAUGAGGUCGCAGAUUACUUGGGUGAAAUCGAGAAGCAGAUUAUGAAUUUCGGGAUUUGUUUGGUUGCAUAAGAAUUAAAUUUGGACUCGAAUGAGUUAAUUAAAUUUUUGCGCAGCCCGACAAUAAUAAGAGACGUGAAAGCUAGCCUAUCUUUUCAUAAUAGCUAAAUUUAUACAUUUCUUCCACAAGCAAUUCUAUAAUUCAUGACCUUAUAAUAAUCUCUAAAUUUAAGAAGAAUAAUAAACAUCGUUAGAGUGCUUUAGGCACGCUUUUAACUAGUUUAUCACGAUUAUGUAUAUGCUCGCAUGUCAUAAUUGUGAUUUUCAAAAUUAAAAUCGAAGUAUGUGUUCGCGCAACUUUGACCAAAACAAUCUUAGUAUAAUAAAAUGCUAUUAAUUGUGAACACGUAAACGUGACAUGAUUUUGGCACAAUAAACGAAACGGAUUCACACACGUGAUUCGUUUCAAAGAUAAUUUUAUAUUUUAAUAAUUAAAAGCGGAUAGAUAAAAUAUGAAAACAAUAAAUUAAAGUUUAUCCAAAAUAAUUCAAGCCAAGUUGUAGUCAAUAAAGCGACCGUGCUAGAACCACGGGACUCGGGGAAUGCUUUACACCUUCUCUUCGGUCAACAGAAUUCCUUAUCCGAACUUUGUUUUCGCAGACCAAUAAUAAAAGAGUCAAACCUUCCUUUGAUUAGGGAUUCAAAUAAAAGGUGACUUGGAACACCAAAAAUCAAUUCCAAGUGGCGAUUCUGAAUAACAAAAUAAUCCCUAUUUCAAAAUUUUACUUUAAUUGGAAAAAUUCUUUAACCCACAAUCUAUAAAACAUACAUAUCUUUUUGGGGUAGAAAAGGGGUGUGACAGUGAGUACACGAAGUUUUCACUAAGAUGCAUCACAUACAGUAUGUAUAUUGGCAUGUAGAUAUAGAGAUGUAAUAUUCCUCAUAUUGUUCAGAAUUGAUCUAUUUUUUUUACUUGUGCUGAGUUUAACUGUUCAACUUGAAAGCAUGCCUACAUUUCUGUACCGUUAUUUCUAUACUGGACUGUACCUGCUAAGCUUGUCACUACUUUCAGCCUAUAGGUUAAUCUUGUUACUUAUUGAGUUGGUUGUACUCAUACUAUACUCCGCACAUCGUGUGCAGAUCCAGGUGCUCCCGGAUACGUCAGUUGCUAGACUUGGUGAUUUAUAUGCUGGAGACAAUCAAGGUAGCUGCUUGGCGUCUGCAGACCUUGUCUCUCUUCCCUUCAGUUAUGGUGUUGUUCUAUAUUUUUUAGACAGUGUUCUUAUCAGUCAUACUAUUAUUAUUAUUAUUUAGACGCUCAUGUACUUAGUGAUACCAGAUUUUGGGAGUGUAUUUUGUAUCAGUAUGUGUGAGAUUUUUCUAUUAAAUUUAUAUAUUAUAUUUUCAAACUUAAAAGAAAUUGUGGCUUAUUGAGGUUGUGGGCUUGCCUAGUAUUGAGAUAGGCGCCAUCACGACAUGCGAAUUUUGGAUCGUGAUAAUUCUACCCUUAUUUAUGUCUUAAAA